RNAcentral lists this long non-coding RNA (662 nucleotides) under Homo sapiens (human). RNAcentral's name for it is "HSALNT0083762". The record is from RNAcentral. Lineage: Eukaryota; Metazoa; Chordata; Mammalia; Primates; Hominidae.
AAAAUAGUAUUGAAUGUUGUGUAUGUGAUAAUUCAAAGAAUAAAAUGGCUAACAUAGAAUGUGGAAAGGCAUAUUAAACGAAUUCAUUUCAGCCUAUUUAACUGGAGUCACGAGAAGGAAUUUUUAAAGACUACUCAUAUAUGCCCUUUUUUUUUAUUAACCCUAACAUAAUGUAGAUAGAAUUUAAAUUUCUAUUAUAUUCCACAUUUCACAAUUGAUUAUGAAGUCAGACUCCUAAGUAGCGGCUCUGUAGACUCAGCUCUCUCUUUUUUUCUAAGAUGGGAUUUCUCUGCUCAUCAGGUCAUUGUGUUUGCAAUUGAUCCUUGGAGACAGCGACAUCUGCGAAGCUUCCAAGCCACGGUGGUUCCACCUUCACAAGUAUCCUUCAAAGGCAUCCUGCAACCACCCCAUCCAUCCAAGUACUCCGUUGUAGGAUUCAAAAGCAAAUUGCAGGGUUUGCUGCCCUUGCUCGGUCCAAUCCUGCAUUUCUGGAACUUGUUUGAUCACAGAUAUCUUCGAUCAAGAAACAACUGUUAGCAUGCCGUUUGGGAGGGUGCGAUCCUAGAAAGUUUUCUUGUGUAGAGUAGAACCUGGUUACCGAUCAUGAUGUUUUAAAGCACCAAAAUAGUUUUGUUUUUGUCUUUGUUCUUUUUCAUCUGUGA